ACGUAUGGGUAUUUAAAUCCAGUGCAAAGAUAAAUGACUGUUUCUCCUAUUUUUAUAAAAUAUUUCAAGACUGAAUGUUUUUCUUUUGCUUAUCAAAACUCUUGACUUGGUAUAUUUUCACAAGCAACAGUUGGAAAAUAGUAUGAUAAUUUAGUAUGAUAUUCAUAAAAAAAAACUUUGGUGGAGCUUGUAAGACUAUGGGGUUUGCUUAAAACCAUAUCCAUAGACCUAGAUUUUUCAACACAAAAGGUCUAAUUCGAUUUCAAGACACACACUUUGUCUUUGAAAUUAUUUUACUGCAUUCACCUUUAAUUGUUUACCAAGUCAUUUUAUAGCUACAAAAGGAGUCAUA
This 352-nucleotide long non-coding RNA is filed under the name Amborella trichopoda. Its description in RNAcentral is "long non-coding RNA (ATRI_LNC004922)". Lineage: Eukaryota; Viridiplantae; Streptophyta; Magnoliopsida; Amborellales; Amborellaceae. The record is from RNAcentral.